GCCAAGCAGUCAGCAGUGAGCAGGGGAGGAGGCCAGGGCUGCUGGGGGUCGGCGCUGAGGAAGCCAGGAUUUUCCGAGGGCCAAUGCCGGGAGCCACGCCAACGCCAGGAGCCACACCAACUCCAGGAGCCACGCCAACUCCAGGAGCCAAGCCAACUCCAGGAGCCACACCGACACCAGGAGCCACGCCAACUCCAGGAGCCACGCCGACACCAGGAACUAACCCUGCAAGAUUGAGAAGAGCUGAUCAUUAACCAAGACCUGAUCAAAGAGGACAGAAGCUUAUGGAAAGAGGGCUGGAGCCUCGGCCCUGGCAUAGAUUUGCUGUGUGACCCUGGAUCAGUUACUUUCCCUUGCUGGGCCUCAGCUUCCUCCUCCCUAAUAUGAAGUGUGUGCAGGCUCAGGAGUUCAUAACUUUGUUUUUUUGGAGACAGAGUCUCACUCUAUCGCCCAGGCUGGAGUGCAAUGGCGUGAUCUCGACUCACUGCAACCACCACCUCCCGAGUUCAAGUGAGUCUCCUGCCUCAGCCUCCUGAGUAGCUGGGACUACAGGUGCGCACCACCAUGCCCGGCUAAUUUUUUUGUAUUUUUAGUAGAGACAGGGUUUCACCAUGUUGGCCAGGCUGGUCUUAAACUCCUGACCUUGGGUGAUCCACCCGACUUGGCCUCCCAAAGUUCUGGGAUUAUAGUUGUGAGCUGCUGCAUUUGGCCAGGAGUUCUUAACCUUUUCAGUGACAAGGACCCCUUGGAGAUUUGAGGCUGAUGGAGGCAGAUUUACAUUAUAUAAGGGACUUUGUAAGACAGAAAGGCUUUGGGUUCAAAUCUCAGCUCAGCCACCAUUUAGCUGUGCAACUGUAGGCAAGUUACUUAAGCUCUGGGAACCUCAGUUUCCACAUCUGUAAAAUGGGAAAAAUAAAAUCAACUCUGUAAGAUUUUUGUAGGCCAGACACGUUGGCUCAUGCCUGUCAUCCCAGCACUUUGAGAGGCCAAUGUGGGAGGAUCGCAUACAAUUUUUUUUUUUUUUAAACUGGGCAUGGUGGCAUGUGACUGUAGCCCCAGCUACUAGGGAUACUAAGGGGGAAUAAUGGCUUAAGCUAGGAGUUUGAGGCCUGCGGCGAGCUGACGGCAUCACUGCACUCCAACCUGGGCGACAAUGUGAGACCCCGUCUCAAAUAAAUAAAUAAUAAAGAUUGCUGUGUGUGAGAA
Molecule: long non-coding RNA, 1206 nt
Organism: Homo sapiens (human)
Lineage: Eukaryota; Metazoa; Chordata; Mammalia; Primates; Hominidae
Gene: ELN-AS1
Product: ELN antisense RNA 1
Source: Ensembl